GACGAACGCUGGCGGCGUGCCCAAUACAUGCAAGUAGAACGCUGAAGGAGGAGCUUGCUUCUCUGGAUGAGUUGCGAACGGGUGAGUAACGCGUAGGUAACCUGCCUGGUAGCGGGGGAUAACUAUUGGAAACGAUAGCUAAUACCGCAUAACAGUAGAUGUUGCAUGACAUUUGCUUAAAAGGUGCAAUUGCAUCACUACCAGAUGGACCUGCGUUGUAUUAGCUAGUUGGUGGGGUAACGGCUCACCAAGGCGACGAUACAUAGCCGACCUGAGAGGGUGAUCGGCCACACUGGGACUGAGACACGGCCCAGACUCCUACGGGAGGCAGCAGUAGGGAAUCUUCGGCAAUGGACGGAAGUCUGACCGAGCAACGCCGCGUGAGUGAAGAAGGUUUUCGGAUCGUAAAGCUCUGUUGUAAGAGAAGAAUGAGUGUGAGAGUGGAAAGUUCACACUGUGACGGUAUCUUACCAGAAAGGGACGGCUAACUACGUGCCAGCAGCCGCGGUAAUACGUAGGUCCCGAGCGUUGUCCGGAUUUAUUGGGCGUAAAGCGAGCGCAGGCGGUUAGAUAAGUCUGAAGUUAAAGGCUGUGGCUUAACCAUAGUACGCUUUGGAAACUGUCUAACUUGAGUGCUGUAGGGGAGAGUGGAAUUCCAUGUGUAGCGGUGAAAUGCGCAGAUAUCAGGAGGAACACCGAUGGCGAAGGCAGGUCUCUGGGCAGUAACUGACGCUGAGGAGCGAAAGCAUGGGUAGCGAACAGGAUUAGAUACCCUGGUAGUCCAUGCCGUAAACGGUGGGCGCUAGGUGUAGGGGGCUUCCACGUCUUCUGUGCCGUAGCUAACGCAUUAAGCGCCCCGCCUGGGGAGUACGGCCGCAAGGCUAAAACUCAAAGGAAUUGACGGGGGCCCGCACAAGCGGCGGAGCAUGUGGAUUAAUUCGAUGCAACGCGAGGAACCUUACCUGGGCUUGACAUAUAGCGGAUCGCUGCAGAGAUGUAGUUUCCCUUUGUGGUCGUUAUACAGGUGGUGCAUGGUUGUCGUCAGCUCGUGUCGUGAGAUGUUGGGUUAAGUCCCGCAACGAGCGCAACCCUUGUCUUAUGUUGCCAGCAUUUGGUUGGGGACUCAUGAGAGACUGCCGGGGUCAACUCGGAGGAAGGUGGGGAUGACGUCAAAUCAUCAUGCCCCUUAUGUCCAGGGCUUCACACAUGCUACAAUGGCCGGUACAACGCGCAGCGACACUGUGAGGUGGAGCGAAUCGCUGAAAGCCGGCCUUAGUUCGGAUUGGGGUCUGCAACUCGACCCCAUGAAGUCGGAGUCGCUAGUAAUCGCAGAUCAGCAACGCUGCGGUGAAUACGUUCCCGGGCCU
Molecule: ribosomal RNA, 1367 nt
Filed under: uncultured bacterium
Lineage: Bacteria
Description: partial 16S ribosomal RNA
Rfam family: Bacterial small subunit ribosomal RNA
Source: RNAcentral